CACUUCUUAAUUUCUUACCAUUAUGGUAGUAAUGCUGCUGUCAUGACCCACCACAGAUGAAGCGGAGAGCCUGCGACCCAGAAGACUUCUUAAUGAAAUUUCUACUGAAGCAGAAGACAGGACUUGCAAUGCAAUUACAAUAUGAAUGAACUGAUCUACAUAUGUGGCAGUGUCAAGUGGUCCACUUUUCAUGAAGUUUGCCACUUUAAAUUGUAGCUGAGGUUCACAUAUUUGAAUGCUCCUCCAUGGAAGAAAAAGGCUUCUUGCAAAUGAGCCUUUACACUUAGGUGAGGGACUCAGGAAAGGGCUCAGGAGAAGUAUGCAGCAGCAGCAGCAGCAGCAGUGGCAGUUGAUACCUGAUGGGAAGUUGAAGAUCCAACCCAGGGGCUGAUAUCACUAGGGCAAAGAGCUGAAGGAGGUCUGCUAAGAAGAGAACAAGGCUCUGUGGCGGUCUUCAACAAAGAGCUACUGCCAAAUAACAGCUGGUUGUUGUGAACCUGAGGUGACAGAUGUUGCUGGACUAGGUUGAAGACCAUCACUGCAAUCCUGAGAGAAGGCUGAAGGACUCCAGAGUGAAGGAACUGAAGACCAAGUUGAAGACUACAUGUAAAAUCCUUGGGUAUAUUGAGUUUUGUGUUAACAGGCAAAGGAGAAUGGUAGGUUAAUUGGCAAUGGUUUGCUUAGAAGGUGAAACUGUAACUGCACAUAGCCACCUUCUUAAAGAGACAGUAACCCUUGUUUAUGCAGUGCUUUUUAAUGGGACACUAAGUGAAAUCACAAGCUUUAUAAGCAAUCCCUUAAACAUUA
Long non-coding RNA from Rhineura floridana, 807 nucleotides. RefSeq lists it as uncharacterized. The record is from RefSeq and is a predicted model, not a curated record. Lineage: Eukaryota; Metazoa; Chordata; Lepidosauria; Squamata; Rhineuridae. The transcript has 3 exons.